Molecule: long non-coding RNA, 911 nt
Organism: Lingula anatina
Lineage: Eukaryota; Metazoa; Brachiopoda; Lingulata; Lingulida; Lingulidae
Source: RefSeq, a predicted model, not a curated record
UAUAUAAGAGCUACCGGAGUACCAGUCGUCUCACGUUCUCUGUACGGUAGACUUGUGUUCAGCAGUUUUCUCAGCUCCACUCUCGACAUUCUGAAGCUUUACUCACCGACAAGUUUUCGGUUAUUUGAAAGACAAUGACUGGCUAUCUCGUUACUUUACUUGCCGUUGCCAUGGUGACAGUGACUGUGGUUAAAGAAACCCAGGCAGCGUGCUGUAAAUCGGUGGAGCGCGGCUGGUGUGCAGACUGUACAGAGACAACUCCAUACUGCGGAUACGGAAAGUGUAACAUUUUCGGUUGUGCUUGCGACGGCGGGUGUAGGAAAAAUUGCGGCGCGACCUACAGUGGCUAUCACUACUCAUUUUGGAGUGGAGGAAGAUACUCUUACUGCACGUGCACGAAGACUAAGAGAUCAGCUGAAGCCCAGCAAGAAGAGGAAAAUCCGACUGAAAAUGCCGAACUCAGAAAUAUCCUCGAACUCGAAAACCCUGAAUUCGGCGGGUAAAGAAGCGACGCUUAUAACAUGAGAUGCCCUAUUUUCAAGGCUUAAAUUGACAUUGAAAAACGACGCGUGCUGAGAAAAGGAAGAGCACCAGAUGCAAAUUGAUUCCUUUUAUUAACUAUAUUCAGAUGUGAAAAACUUAUUGAAGAGAGUUACAUUCUUACGCGUUUUUUUUUUCUUUGUUACUUUUCCUUUUUUUAAUCUCAAUGUUUUAAGGCACCUAAAUGCCUUUCAGCAAUCCCGAAUGCGUCUAAAAUGUUUUUAGCUAUAUUUUAAUAUUUUCACAUCUGUAUUCAUAGAACAAUAAUCACACUCUUGGCUUAUGACAUCUAAUUAUUUCUUCUUACCAGAGUUCUGUACAUGUUAUAUUGUAAUUGCUGCUUGCAAAUAAAUUAUCAGCCUUCAAUUAAA